Molecule: long non-coding RNA, 1363 nt
Filed under: Sinocyclocheilus grahami
Lineage: Eukaryota; Metazoa; Chordata; Actinopteri; Cypriniformes; Cyprinidae
Description: lncRNA (ENSSGRG00000038546.1)
Source: RNAcentral
GCCAUAUACCUUCUGAGAGAGAAGGAGACAUUGAGAAUGCAGAGGAUGUCAGCACUUCAAAAACAACUGGAAAGAAAAGAAAAAGGUUCGGUGACUUUGGAUGACACUGACAGAUAUGUGUGUUGCAGGACCACGCAGAGGCUGACCUCAGAUUUCACCUCUGUAAUUGAGGAGUCCUGUAGACACGUGCCCACGGGGGCCCAGGAGAGACCACCACCGCUGCAAGCUCACUGCUACCUCUGCGCCGGAGGAAAAGGGUGUCUGAAAAUGACGUUUCCUAUGAGUCCCAAGCAAAAAUAAAUGUUUGGCCCGAUCAGAUCUUGCUAUGGUUUUCUGAUCAUUUCCCAGCUGUGUUGUUUUCUGUCAUGUUGUGUAAAAUGUGGCUUAAUUGGCUUAAAUAUCUUCUACACAUACACUGUGCCUUCACAAAUCCACUAGGUCAUGUGUAUGUGGGCUUGUUUUAUUGAACAUUAAUUUUUCUCUAUAUAUAUGUAAACUCUAGAUCUUUUGCGAAAGAUUUAGACACUGAUGGACAUUUCAGAUCUUAAACAUGUUGCUUUUUCUGUGGAACUCCAACUCUCAUUUGAUGAACUAGGCCACCAACUAGGAUUGAAAUGCUUCUCACUUCUUUAAUCUGUGCCUUGUUGUGUUUUAAUUAAUUUUUUGCUUCAUGGGAGUGUUAUGGUUAUAUUGAGACACUGUUGUUUUUGUCUGUUUGUUUGGUUUUUUCUCUUCACGGAUGAAAAGUUGCAGGUUAAAGAAGCUCAUGUUAUUAGUUUUUACUCAUUGCCCUCUCCACAAAAGCAUAAUUAUGGGUUGAAAAUUGCAGCUCAGUGAUGUGCAUGUGCAACACAUGGCUGCAAAUUCCUUAGGAUGCUUUUUUAAGUUGUUCUAGUUGAUUAUGCUGGAAACCCUGAUGUUAAUUUGGGAGGAAAAGAAAAUAUACUCUAAAGGUCCUACAGACAGUUAUUAGGAUCUGAGAUCCUGCGAAUGGCUUGUUAAUGUUCGUUUAAUUAAUUAUUUUAGUUUGUGCUUUUGACAUCCUCUUCAAUUGUAUGUUUAGAUCUGAUUGGAUUAAUGUGCAUUUUAGUAUUUAGUAAGGCAUUUUUUGACACGAAUUAAUGUUAGGAGACCAUUUUGUUCUCUUUGCUUCAGUUUUGAUAUUCGACCGAUGUAAUGUCAACAAAAGACAGGCUAACGUUUUUUGUUAUAUAUCUAUAAAUCACGUUGGAUGCACUUAUUAAAUGUGGAAAAAGUGACCAACCUGCUGUGCUUUUUAACCUCGUGAAGACUCACUAUAGCCGUUAUCGCUCUUUGGUAACUUUAACCCCAGAACACAUACACGCUUUUUAAAUCACACGAG